This 1341-nucleotide ribosomal RNA is filed under the name uncultured bacterium. Its description in RNAcentral is "partial 16S ribosomal RNA". It matches the Rfam family "Bacterial small subunit ribosomal RNA", at positions 28 to 1381 of the family's 1533-position model. The record is from RNAcentral.
GACGAACUCUGGCGGCGUGCUUAACACAUGCAAGUCGAACGGUAAGGCUCCAGCUUGCUGGGGUACACGAGUGGCGAACGGGUGAGUAACACGUGGGUGACCUGCCCUGCACUUCGGGAUAAGCCUGGGAAACUGGGUCUAAUACCGGAUAGGACCGCACCGUGAGGGUGUGGUGGAAAGUUUUUUCGGUGUGGGAUGGGCCCGCGGCCUAUCAGCUUGUUGGUGGGGUAAUGGCCUACCAAGGCGGCGACGGGUAGCCGGCCUGAGAGGGUGGACGGCCACAUUGGGACUGAGACACGGCCCAGACUCCUACGGGAGGCAGCAGUGGGGAAUAUUGCACAAUGGGCGGAAGCCUGAUGCAGCGACGCCGCGUGGGGGAUGACGGCCUUCGGGUUGUAAACUCCUUUCACCAUCGACGAAGGGUUUCUGACGGUAGAUGGAGAAGAAGCACCGGCUAACUACGUGCCAGCAGCCGCGGUAAUACGUAGGGUGCGAGCGUUGUCCGGAAUUACUGGGCGUAAAGAGCUCGUAGGUGGUUUGUCGCGUCGUCUGUGAAAUUCCGGGGCUUAACUCCGGGCGUGCAGGCGAUACGGGCAUAACUUGAGUACUGUAGGGGAGACUGGAAUUCCUGGUGUAGCGGUGAAAUGCGCAGAUAUCAGGAGGAACACCGGUGGCGAAGGCGGGUCUCUGGGCAGUAACUGACGCUGAGGAGCGAAAGCAUGGGGAGCGAACAGGAUUAGAUACCCUGGUAGUCCAUGCCGUAAACGGUGGGCGCUAGGUGUGGGUUUCCUUCCACGGGAUCCGUGCCGUAGCUAACGCAUUAAGCGCCCCGCCUGGGGAGUACGGCCGCAAGGCUAAAACUCAAAGGAAUUGACGGGGGCCCGCACAAGCGGCGGAGCAUGUGGAUUAAUUCGAUGCAACGCGAAGAACCUUACCUGGGCUUGACAUAUACAGGAUCGCGCCAGAGAUGGUGUUUCCCUUGUGGCUUGUAUACAGGUGGUGCAUGGUUGUCGUCAGCUCGUGUCGUGAGAUGUUGGGUUAAGUCCCGCAACGAGCGCAACCCUUGUCUUAUGUUGCCAGCACGUUGUGGUGGGGACUCGUAAGAAACUGCCGGGGUUAACUCGGAGGAAGGUGGGGAUGACGUCAAAUCAUCAUGCCCCUUAUGUCCAGGGCUUCACACAUGCUACAAUGGUCGGUACAGUGGGUUGCCAGUCCGUGAGGGCGAGCUAAUCCCGCAAAGCCGGUCUCAGUUCGGAUCGGGGUCUGCAACUCGACCCCGUGAAGUCGGAGUCGCUAGUAAUCGCAGAUUAGCAACGCUGCGGUGAAUACGUUCCCGGGUCU